RNAcentral lists this ribosomal RNA (253 nucleotides) under uncultured bacterium. RNAcentral describes it as "partial 16S ribosomal RNA". It matches the Rfam family "Bacterial small subunit ribosomal RNA", at positions 524 to 776 of the family's 1533-position model. The record is from RNAcentral.
UACGGAGGGUGCAAGCGUUGUCCGGAAUCACUGGGCGUAAAGGGCGCGUAGGCGGCUCGGUAAGUAGGGGGUGAAAUCCUGCGGCUUAACCGCAGGGCUGCCUUCUAAACUGUCGAGCUUGAGCACGGUAGAGGCAGAUGGAAUUCCCGGUGUAGCGGUGGAAUGCGUAGAGAUCGGGAAGAACAUCAGCGGCGAAGGCGGUCUGCUGGGCCGUUGCUGACGCUGAGGCGCGACAGCGUGGGGAGCAAACAGG